AUUGAACGCUGGCGGCAGGCCUAACACAUGCAAGUCGAGCGAGCGGCGGACGGGUGAGGAAUGUCUGGGAAACUGCCUGAUGGAGGGGGCUAACUACUGGAAACGGUAGCUAAUACCGCAUACCAACGGAUGUGCCCAGAUGGGAUUAGCGAGUAGGUGGGGUAAAGGCUCACCUAGGCGACGAUCCCUAACUGGUCUGAGUGGAUGACCAGCCACACGGGAACUGAGACCCGGUCCAGCCUCCUACGGGAGGCAGCAGUGGGGAAUAUUGCACAAUGGGCGCGAGCCUGAUGCAGCCAUGCCGCGUGUAUGAAGAAGGCCUUCGGGUUGUAAAGUACUUUCAGCGGGGAGGCGUUACCCGCAGAAGAAGCACCGGCUAACUCCGUGCCAGCCGCCGCGGUAAUAC
This 406-nucleotide ribosomal RNA is filed under the name uncultured bacterium. Its description in RNAcentral is "partial 16S ribosomal RNA". It matches the Rfam family "Bacterial small subunit ribosomal RNA", at positions 29 to 526 of the family's 1533-position model. The record is from RNAcentral.